RNAcentral lists this transfer-messenger RNA (400 nucleotides) under bovine gut metagenome. It matches the Rfam family "transfer-messenger RNA". From Rfam's summary of the family: Bacterial tmRNA, also known as 10Sa RNA or SsrA, is named for its dual tRNA and mRNA-like properties. Its role is to liberate the mRNA from a stalled ribosome. The record is from RNAcentral.
GGGGAUGUUUUGGUUUUGACAGCGCUGAUGUCGGACGGUAAGCAUGCCGGGCGUUGGAACCUUGCCCGUUAAUCUCAGAUUCCGAACAAUAGUUGCUAACAACAACAAUUACGCACUCGCUGCCUAAUUUGACUCAGUCAAUUAGCUUAAUCCGCGUUGCCUAGGCUGCAGCGCCGACGAGUAUCCCUCGGACUUUAUGCCUGUUAUGUUCCGAUCAAGGGGUAUCAAUUCAAACGGGACGCUCCGGUGGACUUCUCUAAAGCCGGCUAAGAUUCAGAGGAUAAGGCUGGACCGGCCCGUCUUUCGGCAAGUCCUCCCCGACAACCAAAGGAAGAAUAAGCAUGUAGAAAGCCGCCUGGUGCGACGUUUGGACGGCGGUUCGAGUCCGCCCAUCUCCACU